Molecule: ribosomal RNA, 360 nt
Filed under: uncultured bacterium
Lineage: Bacteria
Description: bacterial SSU rRNA
Rfam family: Bacterial small subunit ribosomal RNA
Source: RNAcentral
AACGAACGCUGGCGGCAUGCCUAACACAUGCAAGUCGAACGAGACCUUCGGGUCUAGUGGCGCACGGGUGCGUAACGCGUGGGAAUCUGCCCUUGGGUUCGGAAUAACUUCGGGAAACUGAAGCUAAUACCGGAUGAUGACGUAAGUCCAAAGAUUUAUCGCCCAAGGAUGAGCCCGCGUAGGAUUAGCUAGUUGGUGAGGUAAAGGCUCACCAAGGCGACGAUCCUUAGCUGGUCUGAGAGGAUGAUCAGCCACGCUGGGACUGAGACACGGCCCAGACUCCUACGGGAGGCAGCAGUGGGGAAUAUUGGACAAUGGGCGAAAGCCUGAUCCAGCAAUGCCGCGUGAGUGAUGAAGGCC